RNAcentral lists this ribosomal RNA (459 nucleotides) under uncultured bacterium. RNAcentral describes it as "partial 16S ribosomal RNA". It matches the Rfam family "Bacterial small subunit ribosomal RNA", at positions 338 to 795 of the family's 1533-position model. The record is from RNAcentral.
CCUACGGGUGGCAGCAGUGAGGAAUAUUGGUCAAUGGCCGAGAGGCUGAACCAGCCAAGUCGCGUGAGGGAAGACGGCCCUACGGGUUGUAAACCUCUUUUGUCGGGGGGCAAAGAGAGUCACGUGUGACUCAUUGAGAGUACCCGAAGAAAAAGCAUCGGCUAACUCCGUGCCAGCAGCCGCGGUAAUACGGAGGAUGCGAGAGUUAUCCGGAUUUGUUGGGUUUAAAGGGUGCGCAGGCGGAGGUGCAAGUCAGCGGUAAAAUUGCGGGGCUCAACCCCGUACUGCCGUUGAAACUGCAUCCCUUGAGUGCGCGAGAAGUAUGCGGAAUGCGUGGUGUAGCGGUGAAAUGCAUAGAUAUCACGCAGAACUCCGAUUGCGAAGGCAGCAUACCGGCGCCCAACUGACGCUGAAGCACGAAAGCGUGGGUAUCGAACAGGAUUAGAUACCCGUGUAGGC